This 480-nucleotide ribosomal RNA is filed under the name uncultured bacterium. RNAcentral describes it as "bacterial SSU rRNA". It matches the Rfam family "Bacterial small subunit ribosomal RNA", at positions 29 to 524 of the family's 1533-position model. The record is from RNAcentral.
AAUGAACGCUGGCGGCGUGCUUAACACAUGCAAGUCGAACGCGAAAGCCCGCAAGGGUGAGUAAAGUGGCAAACGGGUGAGUAACACGUGGGUAAUCUGCCUUCCGAUGGGGAAUAACAGUUCGAAAGGGCUGCUAAUACCGCAUGACAAACCGCUAUCAAUUUAGACGGUUUCAAAGCAGCAAUGCGUCGGAAGAGGAGCCCGCGGCCCAUUAGCUAGUUGGCAGGGUAAUGGCCUACCAAGGCGACGAUGGGUAGCCGGCCUGAGAGGGUGUACGGCCACACUGGAACUGAGACACGGUCCAGACUCCUACGGGAGGCAGCAGUGGGGAAUAUUGCGCAAUGGACGAAAGUCUGACGCAGCGACGCCGCGUGGGUGAUGAAGUUCUUCGGAACGUAAAACCCUGUCUGGUGGAACGAAAAAAAUGACGGUACCACCGAAGGAAGCCCCGGCUAACUCCGUGCCAGCAGCCGCGGUAAU